This 624-nucleotide ribosomal RNA is filed under the name Triticum aestivum (bread wheat). RNAcentral's name for it is "partial small subunit ribosomal RNA". Lineage: Eukaryota; Viridiplantae; Streptophyta; Magnoliopsida; Poales; Poaceae. The record is from RNAcentral.
AUGCUUGGAGCUGACUUCCUCUGUGCUGACUGGCCACACGUGAAUAGUAUUCUCAUAAGCAAAUGCAGAAGCACUGCAUGCUUGUCUGUUGGUAGUCUCACCUCUGUUAAAUUAUUCUCACUGUAUCACUUGCCAGAUUUAUGUUCUCUCGAAGGAUUGUCUUCGCUGCAACUUGAAAAAGUGCAUUUGGUUGGUGUUCCGAAACUCACCCCCGAGUGUAUCUCACAGUUUCGAGUCCAGUACUCACUCCAAGUUAGCAGUCCUGUAAUAGUCAACAACAUGCUCUUGGCUGAAGGUUUCACAGUUCCAACAUGUCUCUCUCUUGUAGGAUGCAAGGAACCAUUCUUUUCAUUUCAAGAAUCUGCAAAUUUUACAUCUGUCAAGAGCCUGGGAUUCUCUAGUUGUCAAAUGAUUUCCUUGCCAACAAAUUUGAAGUGCUUCCCCAAUCUGACUAAUCUCGUCAUCGAUAACUGCCCCAGAUUGUCAUCUUUACCAGAUCUGCCAUCCUCCCUCCUGGGCAUAUCUCUAUGGGAUUGUUCUAAGCUCUUGAAGGAGAGUUGCCGAGCACCUGAUGGAGAAAGUUGGCCAAAGAUUGCGCAUAUCCGGUGGAAGACAAUUAGUUAA